Molecule: non-coding RNA, 696 nt
Organism: Onthophagus taurus
Lineage: Eukaryota; Metazoa; Arthropoda; Insecta; Coleoptera; Scarabaeidae
Source: RefSeq, a predicted model, not a curated record
UUCUGUUGAGGUUGGUAAUUUUAUUUAUUUACGGUUGGUAUCAUUGCUUUGAUUUGUGUUGUCGCAAAUGGAUGACAGUUUUCUUUGUACAGGUUGUUCUACAUAAUUCAAAUUUUCAAACAAUUUUUUUUAAUCUUCAUUUAGAGCCUCAAAGAGUAUUUACAACUCCAAACACCGGAGAGGAAUUCAAUUUCUUUAAACCGCGUUUAUUAUUGUUAUUGUAAUAAUGGAUCCAAAUUGUGUUGAGGAAUUGGCCACUUCCAUAAUUGAGACGAGUAAAUAUGAAUUGGACGAGAAAGCAGCUACUGCUGAAAUGAUACAGUUCUUUGCUGAUGUACAUACAUAUAAUGUAUGAUAAAGAAAUGUUGAGGAUUCUGGUUAUUUAUUGAUUAAGAGGGAUGCCUGGAUAAAGAAGAUGACCUCAGCCUUUACAUAAAUCCGAACAAAAAGGAAGUAAAAAGGAUAUUCUCAAGCGAUCAUCCAACGCAACUUGAGAUAGAUCAAGGGAUGAAACCGUACUACAUGUAUUUUUUAUGUAUUUCUGGACAUCUCCAGUGCAGUGAAGAAAGGAUUUUUAUUCAGUCUUGUUUAUUAUCAAGUGCAACGGAAUCUGAAACAAUCCCCAUCUGUACAUUACCGUCGUUACCACAUUUACUUAUUUUUAUUAAUUAGUUUAAUUUUUCGUGUUGAUUCAAA